Molecule: ribosomal RNA, 253 nt
Filed under: uncultured bacterium
Lineage: Bacteria
Description: partial 16S ribosomal RNA
Rfam family: Bacterial small subunit ribosomal RNA
Source: RNAcentral
UACGAAGGGGUCUAGCGUUGCUCGGAAUCACUGGGCGUAAAGCGCACGUAGGCGGGUUGCUAAGUCAGGGGUGAAAUCCUGGAGCUCAACUCCAGAACUGCCUUUGAUACUGGCGGCCUUGAGUCCGGGAGAGGUGAGUGGAACUGCGAGUGUAGAGGUGAAAUUCGUAGAUAUUCGCAAGAACACCAGUGGCGAAGGCGGCUCACUGGGACGGUACUGACGCUGAGACGCGAAAGCGUGGGGAGCGAACAGG